AAAUAUAUUCCUACCUUUAUAAUAAUAAAAAAAAAAGUUUAUACGCAAAAUUUUUGAUUAAUUAUAUAGAAAAUAUCGAGUUAUUACAAUGAGGAUCUUGUGAGAUGUCAGAAAGUGAUUCUUGGUUUGAUAAUUAUUUAAGAGGGUUUGGCUAUUUUGGAGUUGGUUAGGUUUCGCCUUAGAUAUGGAUUUGACAGGCUUGCAAACUUCGAGGAACCCGUUAAAAAUGAAAUUGCCAAUUAUUUAAAUUUCCCUCUUGUAACUGUUCUUUCCACGUUUCUUAGUGGGACAGUUGUAAGUUGCUGAUAAGUCGCACUCUAUAACUCCACCAUCGUGUCUGUUCCUCAGAUUUAACUUUUCUUCCGUUGAUUAUUCCAGUACGUAGAGUAGCUUAAUGAGUAAGCUAUAGACUCUACGAUUUUGGCAACUCAGCGAUCAUCUUCUGAGAGAUGCUUUAGUGGAUGACUUGACACUAAUACUCAUCUUGAAGUUGCUUGGCUUAUGUGACGCCCCCAAAUCCAGGUUCUCUAACCUCAGAUUCAGUGCUCA
RNAcentral lists this long non-coding RNA (549 nucleotides) under Panax ginseng (ginseng). Its description in RNAcentral is "long non-coding RNA (PGIN_LNC018165)". The record is from RNAcentral. Lineage: Eukaryota; Viridiplantae; Streptophyta; Magnoliopsida; Apiales; Araliaceae.